GAUGAACGCUGGCGGCGUGCCUAAUACAUGCAAGUCGAGCGAACAGAUAAGGAGCUUGCUCCUUUGACGUUAGCGGCGGACGGGUGAGUAACACGUGGGUAACCUACCUAUAAGACUGGGAUAACUUCGGGAAACCGGAGCUAAUACCGGAUAACAUUUGGAACCGCAUGGUUCUAAAGUGAAAGAUGGUUUUGCUAUCACUUAUAGAUGGACCCGCGCCGUAUCAGCUAGUUGGUAAGGUAACGGCUUACCAAGGCGACGAUACGUAGCCGACCUGAGAGGGUGAUCGGCCACACUGGAACUGAGACACGGUCCAGACUCCUACGGGAGGCAGCAGUAGGGAAUCUUCCGCAAUAGGCGAAAGCCUGACGGAGCAACGCCGCGUGAGUGAUGAAGGGUUUCGGCUCGUAAAACUCUGUUAUUAGGGAAGAACAAAUGUGUAAGUAACUGUGCACGUCUUGACGGUACCUAAUCAGAAAGCCACGGCUAACUACGUG
RNAcentral lists this ribosomal RNA (497 nucleotides) under uncultured bacterium. RNAcentral describes it as "partial 16S ribosomal RNA". It matches the Rfam family "Bacterial small subunit ribosomal RNA", at positions 28 to 507 of the family's 1533-position model. The record is from RNAcentral.